This 1793-nucleotide ribosomal RNA is filed under the name human gut metagenome. RNAcentral's name for it is "bacterial LSU rRNA". It matches the Rfam family "Bacterial large subunit ribosomal RNA", at positions 840 to 2647 of the family's 2925-position model. The record is from RNAcentral.
CGGAGAUAGCUGGUUCUCUCCGAAAUAGCUUUAGGGCUAGCGUCGAGUAUGAGUAGUGGAGGUAGAGCACUGAAUGGGCUAGGGGGCAUAGCGCUUACCGAACCUUAUCAAACUCCGAAUGCCACAUACUUUGAGCUCGGCAGUCAGACUACGAAUGAUAAGAUCCGUGGUCAAAAGGGAAACAGCCCAGAUCGUCAGCUAAGGUCCCAAAGUGUAAGUUAAGUGGGAAAGGAUGUGAGAUUUCUAAGACAACUAGGAUGUUGGCUUAGAAGCAGCCAUUCAUUAAAAGAGUGCGUAAUAGCUCACUAGUCGAGAGAUCUUGCGCCGAAAAUGUAACGGGGCUAAACUUACCACCGAAGCUACGGGCUUGAACUUAGUUCAAGCGGUAGGAGAGCGUCGUAACCGGGCUGAAGUCGUACCGUAAGGAGCGGUGGACUGGUUACGAGUGAGAAUGUUGGCAUCAGUAGCGAGAUGUGGGUGAGAAUCCCACAGGCCGAAAACCUAAGGUUUCCUCAGGAAGGUUCGUCCGCUGAGGGUUAGUCGGGACCUAAGCCGAGGCCGAAAGGCGUAGGUGAUGGACAACUGGUUGAUAUUCCAGUACCACUACCAUCGUUAUUAUCGAUGGCGUGACGCAGGAGGAUAGUGUGUGCUAGCUAUUGGAUGCUAGUCUAAGCGUUUAGGCAGUGAGAGUAGGCAAAUCCGCUCUCAUAAUGCUGAGGCGUGAUGGGGAAGGUUCCACGGAACCGAAGUACAUGAUUCCACGCUGCCAAGAAAAGCGUCUAGAGAGAGAAGUAGUGCCCGUACCGCAAACCGACACAGGUAGGUGAGGAGAGAAUCCUAAGGCCGGCGGAAGAAUUACAGUUAAGGAACUCGGCAAAUUGACCCCGUAAGUUCGCGAGAAGGGGUGCCUACGAGAGUAGGCCGCAGAGAAUAGGCCCAAGCAACUGUUUAGCAAAAACACAGGUCUCUGCUAAAGCGUAAGCUGAUGUAUAGGGGCUGACGCCUGCCCGGUGCUGGAAGGUUAAGGGGAACACUUAGCGCAAGCGAAGGUGUGAACUUAAGCCCCAGUAAACGGCGGCCGUAACUAUAACGGUCCUAAGGUAGCGAAAUUCCUUGUCAGGUAAGUUCUGACCCGCACGAAUGGCGUAAUGACUUGGGCACUGUCUCAACUGUAAAUCCGGCGAAGUUGUAGUGCGAGUGAAGAUGCUCGCUACCCGCGAUUGGACGGAAAGACCCCGUAGAGCUUUACUGUAGCUUAGCAUUGAGUUUUGGUAUUGUCUGUACAGGAUAGGUGGGAGACUAGGAAACCAGGGCGUCAGCCUUGGUGGAGUCAACCUUGGGAUACCACCCUGACAGUACUGAAAUUCUAACUGGCGGCCAUGAAUCUGGUCACAGGACAUUGUUAGGUGGGCAGUUUGACUGGGGCGGUCGCCUCCUAAAAAGUAACGGAGGCGCCCAAAGGUUCCCUCAGAACGGUCGGAAAUCGUUCGAAGAGUGCAAAGGCAGAAGGGAGCCUGACUGCGACACCCACAAGUGGAGCAGGGACGAAAGUCGGGCUUAGUGAUCCGGUGGUACCUCGUGGGAGGGCCAUCGCUCAACGGAUAAAAGCUACCUCGGGGAUAACAGGCUGAUCUCCCCCAAGAGUCCACAUCGACGGGGAGGUUUGGCACCUCGAUGUCGGCUCGUCGCAUCCUGGGGCUGAAGUAGGUCCCAAGGGUUGGGCUGUUCGCCCAUUAAAGCGGCACGCGAGCUGGGUUCAGAACGUCGUGAGACAGUUCGGUCCCUAUCCGUCG